AUAUUUAAUUUAAAGCAAAAUGAUUUUAAAUCAUGCAUAUUUACUUUAGUCAAAAUGAUUUUUAAACAUGCCUCUAAAAUCUAGACUAAGAUAAUCCAUUAUGUACUUAUGAUAAUCGAUUAUGUUAAGUCAGUUGCAUGACAAUCGAUAGUGAACUUAUGACAAUCGAUUGUGUUAAGGCAGUGUGCAUCAGAUUUUUCAAAUCUGCAUGACAAUCG
RNAcentral lists this long non-coding RNA (218 nucleotides) under Nicotiana benthamiana. Its description in RNAcentral is "long non-coding RNA (NBEN_LNC008282)". The record is from RNAcentral. Lineage: Eukaryota; Viridiplantae; Streptophyta; Magnoliopsida; Solanales; Solanaceae.